UUGAUCAUGGCUCAGAGCGAACGCUGGCGGCAGGCCUAACACAUGCAAGUCGAACGGAUCCUUCGGGAUUAGUGGCGGACGGGUGAGUAACACGUGGGAACGUGCCCUUUGGUUCGGAACAACUCAGGGAAACUUGAGCUAAUACCGGAUGUGCCCUUCGGGGGAAAGAUUUAUCGCCAUUGGAGCGGCCCGCGUCUGAUUAGCUAGUUGGUGGGGUAAAGGCCCACCAAGGCGACGAUCAGUAGCUGGUCUGAGAGGAUGAUCAGCCACAUUGGGACUGAGACACGGCCCAUACUCCUACGGGAGGCAGCAGUGGGGAAUCUUGCGCAAUGGGCGAAAGCCUGACGCACCCAUGCCGCGUGAUGAUGAAGGU
RNAcentral lists this ribosomal RNA (373 nucleotides) under uncultured Caulobacter sp. RNAcentral's name for it is "bacterial SSU rRNA". It matches the Rfam family "Bacterial small subunit ribosomal RNA", at positions 13 to 415 of the family's 1533-position model. The record is from RNAcentral. Lineage: Bacteria; Pseudomonadati; Pseudomonadota; Alphaproteobacteria; Caulobacterales; Caulobacteraceae.